RNAcentral lists this long non-coding RNA (1160 nucleotides) under Chlamydomonas reinhardtii. RNAcentral describes it as "long non-coding RNA (CREI_LNC000705)". The record is from RNAcentral. Lineage: Eukaryota; Viridiplantae; Chlorophyta; Chlorophyceae; Chlamydomonadales; Chlamydomonadaceae.
GCCUGGUCCUUCUCGCGCAGGGCGAAGUCCAGGUCCUCAACGGCCUGGAUGAACUCCUUGCGCAGGCCCAGGGCGGCCUUCUUGGCCUCCUUCUCCUUGGUCGAGGCCAGGGUGUUCAGGUCGAAGCGCAGGGUGCCGACCUGGCGGCGCAGCUGCUCGCGAGCCUCAGUCCUGUUGCGAGGGAAGGGGCAGGGUGGUGGGGAGGGAAGGUCAGCAUCCCGUGUGUCGGAAUUCGUUUUGAUCCGUAUUAUGGUUGCUCCUGUAGCAUUUGAACUUUCUUGCGGAUGCCCGUACCCAAGCCGUAUUAGGUCGCGCUGGAAACCCUGAGCAAGCAUAUUGGCCCCGUCUCGACGACAUCGCGCUCACCAGUAGGACUUCUGGAUGAACACGUCCAGGUCAGCGUCGAUGCGGGCCUCAGACUCCUUCACGCGCUUCUUGGUCUCGUCCAGGGAAGCGCGAGCCUGGGUGAAGCCCUCGCGGACGUUCUGGGGCAGGUCCAGGUCGCUGCACGCAUACAGCAUAGAUCGCACUUAUUAUUGAAGCGCUAUCCCAAACGAUAUCGACAGCUGAUUGAGAUCAGCUGGAAACAUGCCGCACCUUUUGCGGGUGCAACAUGCCAACGCAAGUCCCGACUUACCGGGCCUCGUAGAUCAGGUCGAAGCCGCGGUCGCGAACCGAGCGGUCAUCGAACAGGUCGACGGGGGUCAGAGCAAGGGCAGCCUUGGGGGCCACGGCGGCGACAGCGCUCGCCAGCAGACCGCCCAGCACCUGCGCGCAAAGAUAACGCCAGAUCAGUCCCAGCUCCAUUCACAAACGCGGCCUAAUGCCCCCACGACAUUUCAUUCUUGUCUUACCGCGCGGCGCGACUCGCCGGAGGCGCGCACAACCACGGCACCCCUGCGAAACGAAACAUUGAAAGCGUGUCAAGCUUCCGACGCUUCCCAGGGCGCAUAAUCUGCAGAUCUAGCGCCACAGCUGCCUUGAUAGCAGCAUCCUGUUGCUGAGCUGGCUCGUUUACGCUAUGGCUGCGCCUUGAGCUCGCUGAAAUGCUCACCGGCGGGAGGCCACGGCGGGGCGGGUAGCAACCUUAGAGGCGAGGGCCAUCUUUGCUAUUAGGUUGAAGUGGUUGCGGAGAAGUGACAGACGAUGCUUGCGAGCGA